Molecule: ribosomal RNA, 253 nt
Filed under: uncultured prokaryote
Description: partial 16S ribosomal RNA
Rfam family: Bacterial small subunit ribosomal RNA
Source: RNAcentral
UACGUAGGUGGCAAGCGUUGUUCGGAAUUACUGGGCGUAAAGGGCUCGUAGGCGGCCAACUAAGUCAUACGUGAAAUCCCUCAGCUUAACUGGGGAACUGCGUGUGAUACUGGAUGGCUUGGAUUUGGGAGAGGGAUGCGGAAUUCCAGGUGUAGCGGUGAAAUGCGUAGAUAUCUGGAGGAACACCGGUGGCGAAGGCGGCAUCCUGGACCAAUAUUGACGCUGAGGAGCGAAAGCCAGGGGAGCAAACGGG